UUCAAGAGUACGUGAAACCGCAUAGAGUCAAACUGGUGGAUCCGCAGAGUCCGCGCGGGGAAUUCAGCUCGGCAGGCGGGGCCGUGCGCCGGCCGAGAUUCGUCUCGGACCUGGCUGGCGCGCUGCGUACUCGCAGGCAGGGUGCACUUUCCCCGGCUAGCGGAAGGCCACGACCGGUUCGGUGGCGGUCAGGAGCCCGGAGCGGGAGGUAGCCGUGAUCGGUUCACGCCGAUUGCGGAACGUACAGCCCUCCGAGGUGGACUCGCCGCUGGACCGAGGAUGCCGCGGUGGCCUCACGCCGCGGGCCGUCCGGGAGCGUUCGACUUUGGCCACGCUGCUCGCAGCCGGCCGAGACCGCGCUUCUGGUACGGGCUCGCGAACGGGGGCCGCCUAGGGUCAGUGGCGAAUCGGUCGGCAACCCACCAGACCCGUCUUGAAACACGGACCAAGGAGUCUAGCAUGUGCGCGAGUCACGGGGUCUCUCGAAACCCAAGGGCGCAAUGAAAGUGAAGGCCGCCUCCGGCUGGCCCAGGCAAGAUCCCGAGACGUUCGCGUCGAGGGCGCACUGCCGGCCCGUCUCGCUGGCAUCGACCACGAGGCGGAGCAAGAGCGCACACGCUGGGACCCGAAAGAUGGUGAACUAUGCCUGAGUAGGACGAAGUCA
Molecule: ribosomal RNA, 664 nt
Filed under: Dreissena presbensis
Lineage: Eukaryota; Metazoa; Mollusca; Bivalvia; Myida; Dreissenidae
Description: eukaryotic LSU rRNA
Rfam family: Eukaryotic large subunit ribosomal RNA (bases 445-664)
Source: RNAcentral